GGAAGAGAGUGUGGUGGUUGGAGCCUGGUGCUGGGAGUGGAGGCCCUCAGACUGUUUCUCCAUUUUGGUCAUGGGAAGGAAGUCAAGCCUCAGAUCUGACCGUGGAGUGAAAGCCAUUGAGAUUUGAUGGUCCAGGAAUCCUAAAUGGUGACUUCAAUGUGAAAGUAGAUAGAGUAGAAAAUGAUCAAAAAGAUAUUGGAAAAUAUUGCCCUAAUCAAGAAGUAAAAGAGACUAGAGAUUGGUAAUCUUAGAAGUUUCAUACCUCUCGGUCAUGCAUAUCUUCAAGAAAAUAAAUGAAAAAUGCUAGACA
Molecule: long non-coding RNA, 310 nt
Filed under: Monodelphis domestica (gray short-tailed opossum)
Lineage: Eukaryota; Metazoa; Chordata; Mammalia; Didelphimorphia; Didelphidae
Description: lncRNA (ENSMODG00000033567.2)
Source: RNAcentral